AAGCUGCAUCGGCAGCGCCUCCAUAUAGUCGUCUCUUUCUUUCUUUCUUUCUCUUUCUCUUUCUCUCUCCCUCUCUCUCUCUCUCUCUCUCUCUCUCUAUCGAACACGAGCUCUUCCACGUAGGGAGGAAGAGCAGGAAGGUAGGAGCAAGGAUGCCCGAACCAAGCAAAAGAGAGAUAGAGACUUGGUGAUCGAAGGGGCAUGAGGAGAGGCGCAGCAACACGAGUACUGAGAGAGUACUACGAGCAGCUCGACUCGUAUACUCGUGAUCUCUCUAGCGGGUGUCCCGGAUUGAUCGACGCCGUUCCGCCUACCGGGUGGUCCUUUUCUUCAUUUCAGAGAUCACUCGAAUUCAAGAUAGGUCAACGUUCUACGUUAACUCUUAAUUAUCUCAAAAAGAAAAAAAAAAAAAAAACUAUAUCAUGACGCUUAUUGCAUCUUGACGAUCUCAAUAAUUUGGGAAUAUGAAUUCGCAAAUGAUUUUAAAUGCAUGUAGACGCUCAAGAGUGGAUCGUUAUUUAUAAGAAGUUAUCCUUCGAUCAAAGGAUAAUUACAAUUCUCUUGCUUUAAAGUAAAAGAAAAAAAAGAAAAAAAGAAAAAAGAAAAAAAAGGGAAAAAAAGCAAAAGAAUAAAAAGGAAAAGGAAAAAAAAGGAAAGAAAGAAUAAAAUUCUUGAGCGUUUGAAAAUCCUUGCGCGUUGAAGGUGCUGCUACCUAGGGGGAGACGCGGAAAGCGUGACGUUACGCUUAUUUCCCGUGGCGGGAAAAUGCUAGUUGAAAUACCGGAAGAAGAAAUAAGAGGACUGUCUGCCCUGUUAUGAUCUUCGCGCUUGAAUCGUACAAAAAGUGGUCGUUAAGACGUUGACUGUUUGCAAUGGUCUACCUUGCAACCAUGCUAAAAAAGUAAUUGGUUAAUAACAUCCAAGCGCGUUGCUGUCAAGCACAAGAUUAUUACUGGAUUAUUACAAUCUAUAUAACUCUCGCGAGCGAGCGCGGGCAUUUUCGAAAAAGUCAUCACGAUAUACCGGAAUGAAUCGGUCCUUUCGUUCCGUAUACUCACAGUUUUCUACAUCUCGAAGAUAUGUCCUUCGUAUGUAAGAGAACUUUCGUCUUAUUUAUUUAAUUACAUAUCCAUUUACGCAUUAUACGGACAUAUUUCUCGAUCACCUUUCGACGAGGUCAAGAGUACGUGCUCAAGCGCGAACGAACUCGUCGAAUCGGUAAAAGAGUAGAAGAAGAAGAAGAAGAAGAAGAAGAAGAAGAAGAAGAAGAAUAAGAAAUCUCAGGGGAUCCUGAGGACGCCUCGUGUCUCGCGUUCCGUGUAAAAGCUUUUUACUCAGAGGUUACAAGGAGCUGGGCUGGUAGGGCGAUCGCGGCUGUCCUUUCGGUUGAGAAAAACGGUUUCUUGGACAAAGGAAAUCCCAAGCAUCCUUUUUCUCUUUCUCUCUCUCUCUUUCCUUAGCCCCAGUAUUCUCAUUGAACCAUUUGGUGCGUUUACGUGUCUCCUCUAUACUCGAUGUGUGUGAGUGGGGCCAAUAAAAAUUUGGCCCUCAUUUCCAAAGGCAGAAGUGCGCAAUCGAACGCUUAGGUACAGGCGCAGGUAACGGCUUUAAGGAAGCUUCUUUAAUUUCUCGUCCUUGCGAGCCACCCUGUGUGCAUUGUGCACGAUCAAACUAUGCUAGGUUCCUAAGGAGGAGGCUAGGUAGAGCGAGAAACGAGUGUGAGAGAGGAAGAGUGAGAAGAAAAAGAGAAAGACAGAGAUAGAGACAGAGAGAGACAGAGAGAAAGAGAGAGAGAGAGAGAGAGAGAGAGAGAGAGAGAGAGAGAGAAAGAGAAGGGUAAAGGAGUGGUGCGCGCGCGCGCAAGGGAAGGCUUGCGUAGGGGUGGAUCGCGGAGGUGGCAACGGUGGGGAGAAAAAGGGGAAUCCAACGAGAGGGGAAGAGGUUAAAGGAGAGGGGAUCAGGCGCGACGUCGAUGAGAAGGUCACGCAACGUAGUCGCCACAGUAUUUAAAUAAUGUAUUAUUUCUAUCUGGGCGCCUCCGUGAGUAUCCUACGGCGCAUAGUCGAGGUGGGGAACGUGCCAGAGUCGAUGGAGGAGAAGAAGAGAGCGUCUCUGAGAUCCGCGGACUCGAAUUCCACUGUGUGCUCUCCUCGCUCCCUCCUUGCUCCUUCUCUGGUGCCAAGGGGAAACGAAAGAAAGUGAGAGAUAUAAAACGAUCGGAGAGAAUCCAACGAAGAAAGAACACUCCUCUGGCUUAUGGAAAUAACUGGCUCGUUCUUGUUCCACGAGUAUUUUUAAGGAUAAUGUUUGAAAUCCAAAAGACAUUUUACUAUUGAUAGGUCUGAUAGGAAAAACUCAUAAUGUAAAAAAGAAACAAUAGAAGUUCAUCUGUACUAGCAGCAGUAGCAGCAGUAGCAGCAACAACAACAAAAACAACAAUAAUAACAAGAGCAACAACAACAAUAACAGAGACGAUGAUGACGACAGUGGCGUCGACACAGUCGUGAGUCAGACAUCGAUGAUAUACGUCUAAGGCAAUCCAUAGGGAUUCUUUCUUCGUGACUCGCCGCCGUCGUUGUCGUCUUGGAGGCCUCAAGCGGGGGCAGUCCUCAUCGUAGAAGCCGCUUAGAAAUCAGUGUGCGAUGCAGAAACGCGCGAUUUGUAGGCAGACGGGCGCAUAAGCGAUCGCAUAAGUGCUACUCGCGUACAUACAUACAUAUAUACAUACAUAUAUGCAUGCAUGCAUGCGUAUGUACUUAUAUACAUACAUACAUACAUACAUACAUACAUACAUACGUAUGUACAAACAUAUAUGCAUGCAUCCAUACAUACAUUGCUCGCUUGCAUGCACGUGAGAGCACCAAUCUUCCUGCCUUCUUCUUCGUUUCGUUGCGUUGUGUUGCCUUUUCUUGGUUGGUAGCCUCGCCACGGCUACCAUCACGUCGCUGGUGGUCAACGAAGCUUCGCGAUACGCAAUACAACACGCUCUGGUCCUCGAACCUUCCAUGAUGCGAAAGGGGAAAGCGAGUCCAAGUGUUUCUAACUUCUUUCGGUUUGCUUAUUUGCUUUCGCAAAUAGUCUUAAGAAAGGGAAGAAUCCUGUUUAUCGGUUUAAUCUAGUGAAAUUAGUUUAUCCAAACAGGAUGAUUUCGUAAUGCAUGUAACUAUUAAGUAGUUGGAAACUUGUAAAACGUAAUUACUAAUCGAUAGAGGAAAUAACAAAAAGAUGAUCGCGAUAAGAGAGAGAGAGAGAGAGAGAGAGAGAGAGAGAGAGAGGGAGAGAGAGAGAGAAAGUAAACGCUCUAGAUGUCCGAGGAGAGUGAAAGAUCCUGUCUGUGAGAGUUGGAGCUCUCUUUCGUGAGAGAGCCUAACCGAGCUAAACGUUCUCAAGGAAACAAAGUAGGAGCUCGUAUUUCGCGGCUCACUACCUUAUAUUUUUCUCCCCGCUUGGAUCCACUUGUCAAGCGUCCCCCGAAUCGAAUCGUUCUUUAUCCUUUCACUAUGACGCAUUGUCUUGCUAUACAUAGGAUGAAAGUUUAAGGAAAGGCGGUAUUGAGUCGACUGUACAUUCUAAUGUAAUAACUUCCGGUAUUUCGAUCAUCCGCAGUGUUCCAUCAACGACAACAAGUACCUUAGCUUAGAAAUGACACUACACAUUGGUGAUACAUAGAGCCAAGAAGACUCGUGCAGUUAUCUAAACGUUAUCUAGAUAAUCGAUUUCGCCAUCUGCAAACACUAGUGUUAACAUUGAUUGCGGAGGGUGAUCAAUACCCCGAGUAGAGAGGUACGGCUAUCACUCGUGCCAUAAGGGUUCUAUUUUCCCUUGUGGAGGCGCAGAAAGAGAGAGAGACAGAGAGAGAGAAAGAGAGAGAGAGAAAGAGAGAAAGAGAUAUGGAGAAACAAGGGUGUUGAGGGGUAGGGAAGAGGGGAUGGGAGAAGGGAGAGGAGCGCACGCCACGCCAUGCCGUGCCACGCGACACGUGAACCUCCGCUAACAGUGGACAAUGAAAUUACUUCGGCGUGUAUCGCAUGGUAUUGAUCCGUUCUCUCUCUCUCUCUCUCUCUCUCUCUCUACCUAUCUAUCUAUCUCUAUCUCUCUCUAUCUAUCUAUCCCUAUCUCUCUCUAUCUAUCUAUCUAUCCAUCUAUCUAUCUAUCUAUAUAUCUAUAUAUCCCUCUUGCUCACUCACUCACUUUCUGCAUCUCUCGCCUUCCCCAUCUCUACUUUCUCUAUCUUCGUCCGGGUUUCGAAGCCUCGGUAGAACAUUUUCUAGUUAUACAUUUUUUUUCCUUCCUCCCCCAUCCUUUAUAUUCUCGACGUGCUGAAGCUUGGAUUAGCUUUUGACAGAGCACAAUCGAGAGGUCAAAUGUAAUGAAAAUAAGAGUAUACGCGUAUUGUCGUAAUACUCAUGUCGUCGGUACUUAUAUUCUAUGUGUGAUAAGUAAAAGAAGAAAAGAGAAUAAGAGUUGUGAAACACCUACGCCUCAACAUUGCAACGUUCUGAGUUAUGAGACAGCCUAGUUUAUUAGCUUCGGGGAGGCGCUGCAUUCUCUCCCGCCCGAACUGUGACCGACGCUCGCGCGCGCGGGACCUAAUGUCGUAGUACAAGUAAUCCCCCACCCCCUGUUCAACCAAUAGGAGACACUUCACGGUGAUUUCGUGCUUGACUCGGUCGGUAAAGACGGUUCCCCGAUCAUUUAGAGCGUGGACAGGCAACAGAAGCGCGCGCGCGCGCGCGCGCUCCCGAACGUGGCGCUAAAGCGAAAUCCUCGUGGUUGUUAGUAGUGUAGUAAAAGAGAAAGAGAGAAAGAGGCAUUCGCCGGCUUUAUAUUUGCGUGUGGCGUUUAAAUAAAGUAGACUCGAUUUAUGUCACAUCCGCUAUCGGUUGGACUCAUCGAUCACGCGCGUUACACCGCGGCCGACGUUUAUGUGACUCCACGGAUUGGAUUUAUCGUACAAACGAAUUCCAAUCUACCUUUGGAAUUGGUCGGCGGAGUGACUUUUGAAAGCCCGAUACGCUCUCGAGAUAGAUAAAUUCUCGUCUCGAAAUCGCUAGGUUCGCCCGGUGACACUGUAUACAUUCAAAAGCGACGUCUUGUCCUUCUAUACGUUCACUCUGAUAAUACCUUGUACACGAUUCCAUUAUCGUCUCCCUUAUCGAAUCGGCAAGUUAUCAUCAGAGUAAAUUAAUUACUCAUACUCUGGGGAAUCCUUUGGAAUAGGGCCUAGUCUCUCUCGAUCAACACGCUAUCGUGUUUCCUCUCCGCAUAUUCACACAGUUAUUUAGCAGAUUAUAUUACCCAAUUAUAAAAAUAUAUAAAUGGAACAUUGUCUCGAUCGUACAUAAGUAUUUCUAAUUGGGUGGACACUUUCGAAAUUGUAACGUUAAAUAUUUAAGAGCCUCAUCAGUUCUUGAAGUUCAUUAGCGAUUUCGAAAAGGAAGGAGAGGCUUACCGAGAUAAUGUCGAAAUUUAACGAGGACGCGUAUAAUGUAGGUGUCUCUCUUUUGUGCCGUGUCGUAAUUUGUCGCGGGCGCACAAAUUGCAAGUUGCGAAUGCAACGAAUAAGAGACAUAUAUAUGCAUACAUAUACAUAUAUGUAUGUAUGCAUGUAUGUAUGUAUGUAUAUUUAUUUUAAAUGUAUGAGCCAGAGGACGGUGGCAGCAUGCGCGCGCACAAACAUAUAUCUCAUAGAUACCGCACAGAGGAGGAGAGUAGAUCUCAGAAAUCCGUGUCGACUCUCAGAGAGAGAGAGAGAGAGAGAGAGAGAAGAAUAAGAAUAAGAAGAAAAAGAAGAAGAAGAAGCCGACGCCAUAGCGGCACCUCGACCCAAUACGACUUACGCGUAUACCUUUGAGAAAUAAUUAGAAACCGAUAUGUACCACUACCGUAACGACUGUCACUGACUCUGCGUAACACACUUUAUAUUCAGCAUUCUCGAGACGAUUGAGGAGUAGGAGGAAGAAGAGGGAUGUAAGAUGAGGGGAGGAGAAGGGGUGAGGAGGACGACGAAUGUCUGUCUGACUUACUCUUUCUCGUAACGUUCCGUUAUUCGGCGCGUUGACUUUCGCACCCGGACCUCGCCUUCUUUUCCUUCGAUCAACGUUUUAACGAUUCGUUGCAUUUCGUAUAAAGUAAAAUAAGACAGAUAUAACCUCGAUCGAUAUCUCACCUCGAUAUAUCCUUCGGUAGUUAAGUAAGUUGAUUCACUUAGUACCUAGACUACAGGCGCACGCUUAUAAUAAGUUAUCUGCCCUAUCGCAUAUACAUGUGUCACGAUACCAUAGACUUCGAAAUGAAGUGGCACGUUGUUCGAAAGAUAUCGAGAGAGAGGCAGAGAGAGACAGAGAGAGGUAGAGGGGGGGUGGGAGAGAGAGAGGGAGAUAUGCGUAGUAUCUUCUUGGCAAGGAAGAUUUUUCGGAGGUCGAAUCGAAGUCUCGAAAGAAAGGAGCUGUGGAAAGAGAGAAAGAGGAUCGAGAUAAAGAGAGAGACGAUCGAAGGUUUCCGCUUCGAUGCGGCAGGUGGUAGACUCGGGUUGGUUGUUGGGAUCGGGACUCGGUAGGACUCGAGCGAUUAUCGAGAGCCGUAGUACGGCCACGCCACUGAAAACGAGGAACAAGACCAAAAACUGUGAGUUCUCGGGGCAGACAGACGGGGCCCGUUGCGGGCUUCAUCUUGUUGGGUUGCGUCGUGGGCCGACCCCGUAAGGUACAUCGCCGUUCGGCAAAAGCUUCUACCAAAGAGAAUAACAAAAAGGAAGGAAGGAAGAAAGAAAGAAAGAAAGAAAGAAAGAAAGAAGGAAAGAAAGAUGGCGUUCGCGUGGGAGAGAGAAAACGGUUGAAAGAAAAGGCAAACAAGCGAGAUAAAGUCGGUUGAACGGUGAUGAGUUUCGUGGAAGGAACCGACGAAGAGAGUGAGGGAGAGAGAGAGAGAGAGAGAGAGAGAGAGAGAGAGAGAGAGAGAGAAGGAGAAAGAUAGAAAAAGAAAAGGAAGAAG
Vespa crabro (European hornet) is the source of this 6993-nucleotide long non-coding RNA. RefSeq lists it as uncharacterized. The record is from RefSeq and is a predicted model, not a curated record. NCBI's taxonomy places the organism in Eukaryota, Metazoa, Arthropoda, Insecta, Hymenoptera, Vespidae. The transcript is spliced from 2 exons.